RNAcentral lists this ribosomal RNA (429 nucleotides) under Actinomycetes bacterium. Its description in RNAcentral is "Actinobacteria bacterium partial 16S ribosomal RNA". It matches the Rfam family "Bacterial small subunit ribosomal RNA", at positions 355 to 776 of the family's 1533-position model. Lineage: Bacteria; Bacillati; Actinomycetota; Actinomycetes. The record is from RNAcentral.
UAGGGAAUCUUCCGCAAUGGGCGAAAGCCUGACGGAGCAACGCCGCGUGAGUGAUGAAGGUCUUCGGAUCGUAAAACUCUGUUAUUAGGGAAGAACAAAUGUGUAAGUAACUAUGCACGUCUUGACGGUACCUAAUCAGAAAGCCACGGCUAACUACGUGCCUGCAGCCGUGGUAAUACGUAGGUGGCAAGCGUUAUCCGGAAUUAUUGGGCGUAAAGCGCGCGUAGGCGGUUUUUUAAGUCUGAUGUGAAAGCCCACGGAUCAAACGGCGAGUGUCAUUGGAAACUGGAAAACUUGAGUGCAGAAGAGGAAAGUGGAAUUCCAUGUGUAGCGGUGAAAUGCGCAGAGAUAUGGAGGAACACCAAUGGCGAAGGCGACUUUCUGGUCUGUAACUGACGCUGAUGUGCGAAAGCGUGGGGAUCAAACAGG